GACAGAGGAGGCAAGCGUUAUCCGGAAUUAUUGGGCGUAAAGGGUACGUCGGCGGCUGGUCAAGUCUGGGGUCAAAGGCCACAGCUCAACUGUGGGAAGGCCCUGGAAACUGACCGGCUAGAGUGAGGUAGGGGUUGCGGGAAUUCCCGGUGUAGCGGUGAAAUGCGUAGAUAUCGGGAAGAACACCUGAGGCGAAAGCGAGCAACUGGGCCCUAACUGACGCUGAGGUACGAAAGCUAGGGGAGCGAAGGGG
This 253-nucleotide ribosomal RNA is filed under the name uncultured bacterium. Its description in RNAcentral is "partial 16S ribosomal RNA". It matches the Rfam family "Bacterial small subunit ribosomal RNA", at positions 524 to 776 of the family's 1533-position model. The record is from RNAcentral.